GUAUGGUGCAAGCGUUAUCCGGAUUUACUGGGUGUAAAGGGAGCGCAGGCGGAAGGCUAAGUCUGAUGUGAAAACCCGGGGCUCAACCCCGGGACUGCAUUGGAAACUGUUCAUCUAGAGUGCCGGAGAGGUAAGUGGAAUUCCUAGUGUAGCGGUGAAAUGCGUAGAUAUUAGGAGGAACACCAGUGGCGAAGGCGGCUUACUGGACAGUAACUGACGUUGAGGCUCGAAAGCGUGGGGAGCAAACAGGAUUAGAUACCCUGGUAGUCCACGCCGUAAACGAUGACUACUAGGUGUCGGGUGGCAAAGCCAUUCGGUGCCGCAGCAAACGCAAUAAGUAGUCCACCUGGGGAGU
Molecule: ribosomal RNA, 355 nt
Filed under: uncultured bacterium
Lineage: Bacteria
Description: bacterial SSU rRNA
Rfam family: Bacterial small subunit ribosomal RNA
Source: RNAcentral